RNAcentral lists this transfer RNA (76 nucleotides) under Rhizoctonia solani AG-1 IB. RNAcentral's name for it is "tRNA-Ile". The record is from RNAcentral. Lineage: Eukaryota; Fungi; Basidiomycota; Agaricomycetes; Cantharellales; Ceratobasidiaceae.
AGAUGCAUGGGCCGCGAGUUCAACCCUCGCUAGGACUAAGUCCUAUAGCUCAGUGGUAGAGCAAUGUACUUAUGGG